AUGCAAAGAACUUUGAAAAGAGAGUUAAAGAGUACCUGAAAUUGCUGAAAGGGAAGCGAAGGAAAUCAGUGCUUGCUGAGUCAUAUUUCUCACUCUGCUUGCAGAUUGGGCGCUGUGUCUUGGCUUAUGUCAGACUUGGUUCGGCUUGUUGGAAUCGCGCUGUGAGAGUUGAUCACGGCAUGUCUGCAACGAGCUUGACUGAGGUUGACAAAAUGGUUUUCUUUACCCCGUCUUGAAACACGGACCAAGGAGUCUAACAUAUGUGCGAGUAUAGGGGUGUCAAACCCCCAUGCGCAAUGAAAGUGACAGUGGUUGGACCUUUGUGGCACAAUCCGCCGGCCUCAAUCCCUCGGGAGAAUGGUCUGAGUGUGAGCAUACAUGUUGGGACCCGAAAGAUGUGUGAACUAUGCCUGAAUAGGGUGAAGCCAGGGGAAACUCUGGUGGAGGCUCGUAGCGAUUCUGACGUGCAAAUCGAUCGUCAAAUUUGGGUAUAGGGGCGAAAGACUAAUCGAACCAUCUAGUAGCUGGUUCCCUCCGAAAUUUCCCUCAGGAUAGCUGCAAUCGAAUGUCAAUUUUAUCA
This 580-nucleotide ribosomal RNA is filed under the name Navicula bottnica. RNAcentral describes it as "eukaryotic LSU rRNA". It matches the Rfam family "Eukaryotic large subunit ribosomal RNA", at positions 364 to 1006 of the family's 3401-position model. The record is from RNAcentral. Lineage: Eukaryota; Bacillariophyta; Bacillariophyceae; Naviculales; Naviculaceae.